This 3092-nucleotide long non-coding RNA is filed under the name Triticum aestivum (bread wheat). Its description in RNAcentral is "long non-coding RNA (TAES_LNC005853)". Lineage: Eukaryota; Viridiplantae; Streptophyta; Magnoliopsida; Poales; Poaceae. The record is from RNAcentral.
CUGGCUUGUCUAGAGAGUGAGGCACAGGCUUACAACAGCAUUCACAUUCAUUUCCUAAUGAGGUAAGCCUAUCAAUGUUCUCUGUUGGUUGGAUUCGUUUGUUUUAUGCACCAUUGAUCAAUUCGAAUGUCAAAGAAGCAACAACCAUGUUCUUUCCGUGACAACUUAAUGCUCAUCUUAGUUUAACUGUGUACUACAAGAAAGCAGUAAGGUUAACAAGGGUUGGUGGAGAGUAGAGGUUCUUCAUCUAGGUUCUACAUGCCAGUAUUUAGCUGGUCACGUUUUUUAUCAUGUACAAUUUUUAUGUGAUUCUAGCACCAAGAUAGAAAAUUGUGUUGUUGGAUUAUGCUCCAAAAUCCCAGUUUCAGAUAAGAAAUGCUCAUCAUGUGAUAAUUCACCUACAUUCUUGGAUUUUUGUCAGAUUCAUUCUAGCCAGGGCUCAGUAAAAUGAUGUUGGUUUGACGGGAUACAACGGUCUACAAACCUUCUCAAAAAGCAAUGUGAUUAAUGCCUUUUGUGUCAUGUGCGCGUUUGUUGAUUGUUGUAUUGCAAAUGAAGUCAAGCCUUCCUUUGCGCUGUACUUCUCCCAAGGUUCACAUCAUUAAUCAACUUUGUACUUCUAGUAAAGGUUUGCCUUUUGUUAUGCUCGUCGGUUUGCUGCAAUAAUGCAUGGGAUUAAUUAUGUUUAUUGUGAAAUGGCUUUAUCUGAUGGAAGUGAAGUCUAAUUAUGAAACACUUAAUGUUUGAAAUUACAUGGCAGUCAUGUUUGUAACUACAUCAUUAUGAAUCUGAUUGUGUGAGAAACUGAUACAGUGAAAAUAGAUAGGAAAGUUCUUUUGUUGUCAGUGGCGAGCUUGUACCAAAAUGUGGAUUGAUUCAUAAGUAGAAAAUAAUGAUACUAAACUCUGCCCCUGUUGAUGUGCUCUUUGAAGUUGAAGAGAUCAAUCCUACGUCAUGGAUGCGUGAGAGAAAUUGACCCGCAACUACUCUCUGUGACCAAUUGAUAGAAUCACGUCAAUGCCAAACAGAGUCUCACUGAUAAAGUUAUCAAAUUAUUCAACGUCAUCACCCAAACAACGACUAAAUUAAAGUAGCCGUUUACAUCAAAGUUGUUUGUAAGAAACUUGGGCACGCAAUCGCUUGUUGUCGGCAUGCUUGCCCCACUGCCAAGAUUUGUUAGCUAAGCAUUCAUCUACUCACAGUAGACCUAACAGAGAUAUAUAAUUGCAUAAUUCCUCUUGGCUGCACACUGGGAGGUUUGAAAUACAAGUACCUGGAUUUCUUGUAGAUAAGAGCAUUCCACAAGAGUAGCUUUCAUGGUCAUAGAAAAUAGAUACUGAACUUCCAUCCUACCCGUAUGCACUGUGCAUUGUUUAUGUCCUUUCACUUUCAUUUUAAUCAUUCAAGGAAAACAUGAAAUCUUUUUUUUCGACAUCUGCAAGGUUGAUAUUGCUUACUCAAUAUGGAUAUUUAUAGCAGCAUAACUGGAUAAGUGAUGUAUAUGCCUUGUGUGGCACUCGUAGCAAUAUGCAGUCCAGUAAUGCUGGGGGGCAUAAAUCAAUUUAUAUUUUGUUAUUCAAUGGUACAUCAACCUACGGACAUCAAUGGAUAUUUUGUGGCAUACAUAAACCUACGGACAAUAAUGGAUGUGUUUGUGGAAUUAUAGGUGGUAGAUAUCUUUGUUGACUUGGAGAUUAGACGGGAAGGAAGAGAAGACUAAAGAAAAUACUUAGAUUUAUGCCUUGGGUAUCUCUCAUUUAAAGCUGUAGACAGAAACGGAAUGUUAUGUCUUCAGAACCUAGAUGUUUGGAUCUUAUCUGCUGCUACUAAGUGUCUUUUUCAGCUCAUGUGUUAUCUAAUAAGCAUGGAGCCUUUUUAUUAGACUGAAUUAGCUUGCAUGCUAGUUAUGGAUAAGCAGAUCCUUUGGCAUAGAGUCAUGAAUCGAAUCUAUAAACGAUAAUAUUUUUUAUUUCACUUAGAAUAUGCUAUCUUUUACUAUGUUCAUUUGAUCAAAAGCGUCAUCUUGUACAAUUCAACUUUUAUCCCAAAAGCAUCAUGCAACAUUUCUUUUGUCAAAGUUGGAGAAAAGUUGGGCAUCCAUCAGCAUUUUCUUGAUUCUCGCGAACAUUUUUUCUUAUUCACUACAUAAGUUAUGAGAUUAAGAGUUGAUUGGCUCACUGCUUUGUUUGAAAUUAUAAUUGACUGCAUUUUUGGAUGACUUGUUAUUUUUCCAACAGGGAACAGUUCGAUCCAAAAGUUUUCACAGAUGCAAAUUCCUUGAUGCCAUAGACAUUGGAUGCAGAUGAGCAUUCUAUCUCUCUCAGUCUUGACAUAGAUUCUGCAGUUGUAGCAAGAAAUCUCUGUUUGCUUGCUGGUUGGUCCACUUUUUAGGUGUUCUUAGGUAGGAAAAACAAGCCACAGUAUGGAUUUGUGAUAUUUUUUAGACAACAGGUCAACAGCAACAAUAGCGUCGUCGCUGUCUGUUAAGGAACAAUCCCAAGAGGCGCACUGCAAACAAGGAUACAGUUCAGGUCUCUUGUUCUUUCUUUUCCCCCACUCCAUCCCCGCUGCAUUCAUUCCUAGACAAAGCUUAACCCUUCAUGUGUUCCUUUCAUCUUUUGGGCAGGAAAAACAUCUCUGCACCAACCAGGAGAAUAUCAGUGGGAGCAGUGUCCAGAAAGGCGGCCGCUUAUGGCUCGGCGGCAUAUAGGCUCCAGACGACGCGCUCUCAUCUCGCUCACUGGUCGUUGGUCGAUUUAUCCUGCAUAAUCGGUGAUUUGGCGCUUGUCUGCGGUGUCACAACUGUCGAGCGCCUUACUGAACACUGAGUGCAGUGAGUGAGAAGUUAUGUUCUCAAAUGUCUGGUGCAGAGACCAGAGUGUCUCCAUCUACGGGCUUGCUUUUCUUCCAUGUGCCAGAGAUUCCUUAUGUACUUGGCACAUUUUUGUUAGUGUUCUAGUGUGUUCUGUCACCUGUUUUACCUCUGUCAGAUAUAUAAAUUGUAUCUAUGCAGAAAUGUGAAUUGAUCAAAUGAAGCUUUAUUUUUCGAGAGAGGAAAUGAUAAAUGGAGCUUAAAUUUACUUUGUAGUGUA